CCUACGGGAGGCUGCAGUGGGGAAUCUUGCACAAUGGGGGAAACCCUGAUGCAGCGACGCCGCGUGAGUGAAGAAGUAUUUCGGUACGUAAAGCUCUAUCAGCAGGGAAGAAAAUGACGGUACCUGACUAAGAAGCCCCGGCUAACUACGUGUCAGCAGCCGCGGUAAUACGUAGGGGGCAAGCGUUCUCCGGAUUUACUGGGUGUAAAGGGAGCGUAGACGGCAGCGCAAGUCUGGAGUGAAAUCCCAUGGCUUAACCAUGGAACUGCUUUGGAAACUGUGCAGCUAGAGUGCAGGAGAGGUAAGCGGAAUUCCUAGUGUAGCGGUGAAAUGCGUAGAUAUUAGGAGGAACACCAGUGGCGAAGGCGGCUUACUGGACUGUAACUGACGUUGAGGCUCGAAAGCGUGGGGAGCAAACAGGAUUAGAUACCCUUGUAGUC
Molecule: ribosomal RNA, 440 nt
Filed under: uncultured bacterium
Lineage: Bacteria
Description: partial 16S ribosomal RNA
Rfam family: Bacterial small subunit ribosomal RNA
Source: RNAcentral